GCCUGGGUGGCUCAGUCGGUUGAGCGUCUGACUUUGGCUCAGGUCAUGAUCUCGCGGUCCGUGGGUUCGAGCCCUGCGUCAGGCU
This 85-nucleotide transfer RNA is filed under the name Felis catus (domestic cat). It matches the Rfam family "tRNA". From Rfam's summary of the family: Transfer RNA (tRNA) molecules are approximately 80 nucleotides in length. Their secondary structure includes four short double-helical elements and three loops (D, anti-codon, and T loops). Further hydrogen bonds mediate the characteristic L-shaped molecular structure. tRNAs have two regions of fundamental functional importance: the anti-codon, which is responsible for specific mRNA codon recognition, and the 3' end, to which the tRNAs corresponding amino acid is attached (by aminoacyl-tRNA synthetases). tRNAs cope with the degeneracy of the genetic code in two manners: having more than one tRNA (with a specific anti-codon) for a particular amino acid; and 'wobble' base-pairing, i.e. permitting non-standard base-pairing at the 3rd anti-codon position. Lineage: Eukaryota; Metazoa; Chordata; Mammalia; Carnivora; Felidae. The record is from Rfam by way of RNAcentral.